GGCGGCAAGAUAGCCAUUUAGAGGAACCUGCCCUAUAAACGAUGAACCACGAAUACCUUACUUUUUUUUGAGAUCAGUUUGUAUACCGCUGUUGGCAGUUAGUUUCAUUAGAAAACUUUCAUUAAUAAUAUAAUUAUUGACUUCAAGUAAAGGUGCAGCAAAUAAGAAAGACAGAGGUGGGUUACAUUUAAUUGAAUAAAACGGAUAAAGUUAUGAAAUUACUUUUGAAGGUGGAUUUAAUAGUAAAGUUUAAUAAAACUUGAUGGGAGCUCUGUCUUGUGUACACACCGCCCGUCG
RNAcentral lists this ribosomal RNA (297 nucleotides) under Amphibalanus amphitrite. RNAcentral describes it as "partial 12S ribosomal RNA". It matches the Rfam family "Microsporidia small subunit ribosomal RNA", at positions 789 to 1201 of the family's 1311-position model. Lineage: Eukaryota; Metazoa; Arthropoda; Thecostraca; Balanomorpha; Balanidae. The record is from RNAcentral.